GACGAACGCUGGCGGCGUGCUUAACACAUGCAAGUCGAACGGAAAGGCCCUGCUUUUGUGGGGUGCUCGAGUGGCGAACGGGUGAGUAACACGUGAGUAACCUGCCCUUGACUUUGGGAUAACUUCAGGAAACUGGGGCUAAUACCGGAUAGGAGCUCCUGCUGCAUGGUGGGGGUUGGAAAGUUUCGGCGGUUGGGGAUGGACUCGCGGCUUAUCAGCUUGUUGGUGGGGUAGUGGCUUACCAAGGCUUUGACGGGUAGCCGGCCUGAGAGGGUGACCGGCCACAUUGGGACUGAGAUACGGCCCAGACUCCUACGGGAGGCAGCAGUGGGGAAUAUUGCACAAUGGGCGGAGGCCUGAUGCAGCAACGCCGCGUGCGGGAUGACGGCCUUCGGGUUGUAAACCGCUUUCACCUGUGACGAAGCGUGAGUGACGGUAAUGGGUAAAGAAGCACCGGCUAGCUACGUGCCAGCAGCCGCGGUGAUACGUAGGGUGCGAGCGUUGUCCGGAUUUAUUGGGCGUAAAGGGCUCGUAGGUGGUUGAUCGCGUCGGAAGUGUAAUCUUGGGGCUUAACCCUGAGCGUGCUUUCGAUACGGGUUGACUUGAGGAAGGUAGGGGAGAAUGGAAUUCCUGGUGGAGCGGUGGAAUGCGCAGAUAUCAGGAGGAACACCAGUGGCGAAGGCGGUUCUCUGGGCCUUUCCUGACGCUGAGGAGCGAAAGCGUGGGGAGCGAACAGGCUUAGAUACCCUGGUAGUCCACGCUGUAAACGGUGGGUACUAGGUGUGGGGUCCAUUCCACGGGUUCCGUGCCGUAGCUAACGCUUUAAGUACCCCGCCUGGGGAGUACGGCCGCAAGGCUAAAACUCAAAGGAAUUGACGGGGCCCCGCACGAGCGGCGGAGCAUGCGGAUUAAUUCGAUGCAACGCGUAGAACCUUACCUGGGUUUGACAUGGAUCGGGAGUGCUCAGAGAUGGGUGUGCCUCUUUUGGGGUCGGUUCACAGGUGGUGCAUGGCUGUCGUCAGCUCGUGUCGUGAGAUGUUGGGUUAAGUCCCGCAACGAGCGCAACCCUUGUUCACUGUUGCCAGCACGUUAUGGUGGGGACUCAGUGGAGACCGCCGGGGUCAACUCGGAGGAAGGUGGGGAUGACGUCAAGUCAUCAUGCCCCUUAUGUCCAGGGCUUCACGCAUGCUACAAUGGCUGGUACAGAGAGUGGCGAGCCUGUGAGGGUGAGCGAAUCUCGGAAAGCCGGUCUCAGUUCGGAUUGGGGUCUGCAACUCGACCUCAUGAAGUCGGAGUCGCUAGUAAUCGCAGAUCAGCAACGCUGCGGUGAAUACGUUCCCGGG
Molecule: ribosomal RNA, 1343 nt
Filed under: uncultured bacterium
Lineage: Bacteria
Description: 16S ribosomal RNA
Rfam family: Bacterial small subunit ribosomal RNA
Source: RNAcentral